ACGAACGCUGGCGGCGCGCUUAAGCUUAUGCAAGUCGUGCGGUUAAAGCUCCCUUCGGGGAGUGUAUAAAGCGGCGAACGGGUGAGUAACACGUGGGUAACCUACCCUCCGCGUGGGGAAUAACCCGCCGAAAGGCGGGCUAAUACCGCGUACGGUCCCCAGACGACAUCGGCUGGGGAAGAAAGCCGGCCUCUGCUUGCAUGCCGGCGCCGGAGGAUGGGCCCGCGCGCUAUUAGCUUGCUGGUGGGGUAACGGCCUACCAGGGCAAUGAUGGCUAGCCGGCCUUAGCGGGUGUACGGCCACACUGGAACUGAGACAAUGUCCAGUCCCCUACGGGAGGCGCAGGCGGGAAUUGUUCACAAUGGGCGCAAGCCUGAUGACGCGACGUCGCGUGAGGGAAGACGGCCUUCGGGUUGUAAACCUCUGCCGGGAGAGAAGAAAGGCGAGCGGUUAAUAGCCGCUCGAGCUGACGUUAUCUCCCAAGAAAGCCACGGCUAACUACGUGCCAGCAGCCGCGGUAAUACGUAGGUGGCAAACGUUGUCCGAAAUUACUGGGCGUAAAGGGCGAGUAGGCGGUUCGAUAAGUCGGAUGUGAAAUCCUACGGCUCAACCGUAGAACUGCAUUCGAUACUGUCGUACUUGAGUACUGGAGAGGAAAGCGGAACUUAUGGUGUAGCGGUAAAAUGCGUAGAUAUCAUAAGGAACACCGGUGGCGAAGGCGGCUUUCUGGCCAGAUACUGACGCUGAGACGCGAAAGCCAGGGUAGCAAACGGGAUUAGAUACCCCGGUAGUCCUGGCCGUAAACGAUGGGCACUAGGUGUGGGAAGCAUUGACCCUUUCCGUGCCGCAGCUAACGCAUUAAGUGCCCCGCCUGGGAAGUACGAUCGCAAGGUUGAAACUCAAAGGAAUUGACGGG
This 916-nucleotide ribosomal RNA is filed under the name uncultured bacterium. RNAcentral describes it as "bacterial SSU rRNA". It matches the Rfam family "Bacterial small subunit ribosomal RNA", at positions 29 to 917 of the family's 1533-position model. The record is from RNAcentral.